This 232-nucleotide non-coding RNA is filed under the name Bacillus solimangrovi. RNAcentral's name for it is "T-box sequence". It matches the Rfam family "T-box leader". Rfam says of the family: Uncharged tRNA acts as the effector for transcription antitermination of genes in the T-box leader family. Lineage: Bacteria; Bacillati; Bacillota; Bacilli; Caryophanales; Bacillaceae. The record is from RNAcentral.
UAAAAGACAUUGAAAAGGAGUAUUAGCAGUAUCAUUAUGGUGCUAGAGAAUUGACGGUUGGUGCAAGUCAAUCCAUUUAUGCUGUGAACUCGCCUUGAAGUUGCGAAUAUGAAGUAUAGUAGUAUUUGUCGUUUCCCUGCGUUAAAGGGUGUCGAGUUGAAUGUGCAUUCCAUUGUGCAUUAAUAAGGGUGGUACCGCGGGAAAGGAAUAUUGAAGACCUCUCGUCCCUUGA